Molecule: long non-coding RNA, 633 nt
Organism: Gasterosteus aculeatus aculeatus (three-spined stickleback)
Lineage: Eukaryota; Metazoa; Chordata; Actinopteri; Perciformes; Gasterosteidae
Source: Ensembl
GGAUACUUUUGACGAUGCCACUCUAUCGGUGUUGGAGGUCAGGCGAAGACCCUGCCCUGUACCUGGAAAAGCAUCCUCUCUCCUCCCCAGUUCUGCUUUCUGAUGGCUCAACCACCAUUGUGGCUGUGGGUAAUGUACCUGUGACCACCCUCCCUCAGGAAGAUUUCUCAGACGGGAUGUUGGUGUUAAUGGCAUAUUACUACACUUUGCACUUAAGAUAUCCAAAAUGUGUUGCAACGCUCCUGUCAGUUAUUCAAACAGAGGUAAUUGGUGACACAAUCCACGAUCAAGAUGCCACUAGUGCUUACAGGAAAGCAAUGGCUGAUUGGAAGUCUUUCAUUGAGAAGUAGCUGAGUAUUUUGUCAUGCCAGUUCUUAUUGUUAGCUGUGAGUUCUUAUUGUUAGCUGUGCCUAAUAAUAGUUUUGUGUUGCACAAGCUUAUACAGUCACUGAGUUAUUACCUCAUUUAGGCCUGUAUUUAAAAUGAUAGUUAAGGAAAAAUCCAUAACUGAGGGCUGAGAAGUGUUUUUGUUUUUUGCCCUUUUGCUUUUAAUUUCUUUUAUUUUUAUGGAAAAGUAUUCAAAUGUCUAUAGCAAACUUGACUUGCUGAUGUUAAAUAAAUGUUGUCUUAAGC